RNAcentral lists this ribosomal RNA (274 nucleotides) under uncultured prokaryote. RNAcentral describes it as "partial 16S ribosomal RNA". It matches the Rfam family "Bacterial small subunit ribosomal RNA", at positions 524 to 798 of the family's 1533-position model. The record is from RNAcentral.
UACGUAGGUGGCAAGCGUUGUCCGGAAUUACUGGGUGUAAAGGGCGUGUAGGCGGGAAGGCAAGUCAGAUGUGAAAUCCCAGGGCUUAACUCUGGAGCUGCGUCUGAAACUGUUUUCUUGAGUACUGGAGAGGAAAGUGGAAUUCCUAGUGUAGCGGUGAAAUGCGUAGAGAUUAGGAGGAACACCAGUGGCGAAGGCGGCUUUCUGGACAGUAACUGACGCUGAGGCGCGAAAGCGUGGGGAGCAAACAGGAUUAGAUACCCCGGUAGUCCCU